GAAAACUGAUGAAAAACUGUGUUGCAUAAUUAUAUUUCUGAUCAUCUCUAUAUGAAGAAACACCCACUAUUGUCAAGUUGCAUAAAAAUAGCUUUUGUCAUGAACAUGUGAAUAUGAUUCCUGAGUCACACCUUGUUACACCUUAUAAAAGUAGCUUAGCUUUUGGGUAAAUCAUCUUCCAGAGAGACGGAGCCUGUUGUCAUUAAGGAUAUUGCUGAGAGAGUUACAGGGAACAAAUUAUUGUUUGAGAUUAGAUGGUUAUGACUUUGAAGAAUAAAAUAAGGUUUGCCUUUUAUAAAAAUAAUGGCACCAGUAACACUACUGCCUUCACAAUAUUAUGUCUAUGGGUGCUGCUUAGUGGGAAUGGAGUCCAAAGUACAACAUCAUAUACAACAGAAACCACAGAAACAACUAC
This is a long non-coding RNA of Ictalurus punctatus (channel catfish), 415 nucleotides long. The record is from Ensembl. NCBI's taxonomy places the organism in Eukaryota, Metazoa, Chordata, Actinopteri, Siluriformes, Ictaluridae.